This 435-nucleotide ribosomal RNA is filed under the name uncultured archaeon. Its description in RNAcentral is "bacterial SSU rRNA". It matches the Rfam family "Archaeal small subunit ribosomal RNA", at positions 566 to 997 of the family's 1478-position model. The record is from RNAcentral.
UGGGAAUUGCUGGAGAUACUAUUAGACUUGAGAUCGGGAGAGGUCAGAGGUACUCCUGGGGUAGGGGUGAAAAUCCUGGUAAAUCCUAGGAGGACCACCUGUGGCGAAGGCGUCUGACUAGAACGAAUCUGACGGUGAGGAACGAAAGCUAGGGGCGCGAACCGGAUUAGAUACCCGGGUAGUCCUAGCCGUAAACUAUGCGGACUUGGUGUGAGGGUGGCUUUGAGCCGUCCUGGUGCCGAAGGGAAGCUGUUAAGUCCGCCGCCUGGGAAGUACGGUCGCAAGACUGAAACUUAAAGGAAUUGGCGGGGAGCACCACAACGCGUGGAGCCCUGCGGUUUAAUUGGAUUCAACGCCGGAGAUCUCACCAGCGGCGACAGCAGUAUGAUGACCAGGUUGAUGACUUUGUUUGACAAGCUGAGGGGUGGUGCAUGG